RNAcentral lists this ribosomal RNA (468 nucleotides) under uncultured bacterium. Its description in RNAcentral is "partial 16S ribosomal RNA". It matches the Rfam family "Bacterial small subunit ribosomal RNA", at positions 28 to 507 of the family's 1533-position model. The record is from RNAcentral.
GACGAACGCUGGCGGCGUGCUUAACACAUGCAAGUCGAACGGAAAGGCCCUGCUUUUGUGGGGUGCUCGAGUGGCGAACGGGUGAGUAACACGUGAGUAACCUGCCCUUGACUUUGGGAUAACUUCAGGAAACUGGGGCUAAUACCGGAUAGGAGCUCCUGCUGCAUGGGGGGGGUUGGAAAGUUUCGGCGGUUGGGGAUGGACUCGCGGCUUAUCAGCUUGUUGGUGGGGUAGUGGCUUACCAAGGCUUUGACGGGUAGCCGGCCUGAGAGGGUGACCGGCCACAUUGGGACUGCGAUACGGCCCAGACUCCUACGGGAGGCAGCAGUGGGGAAUAUUGCACAAUGGGCGGAAGCCUGAUGCAGCAACGCCGCGUGCGGGAUGACGGCCUUCGGGCUGUAAACCGCUUUCGCCUGUGACGAAGCGUGAGUGACGGUAAUGGGUAAAGAAGCACCGGCUAACUACGUG